This 717-nucleotide long non-coding RNA is filed under the name Physcomitrium patens. RNAcentral's name for it is "long non-coding RNA (PPAT_LNC007170)". Lineage: Eukaryota; Viridiplantae; Streptophyta; Bryopsida; Funariales; Funariaceae. The record is from RNAcentral.
UUUAGGAUUUGGUUUAGGAUUUAAGGUUUGAUUUGGGUUUGAUUUAGGAUUUAAAAUUUGAUUAGGAUUUGAUUUAGGAUUAGGGUUUGGUCAAGGUUUGAUUUAGGGUUAAGAUUUGGUUAGGAUCUGAUUUAGGAUUAGGAUUUGGUUUAGGAUUUAGGAUUUGAUUAGGAUUUGAUUUAGAAUUAGGAUUUGAUUAGGAUUUGGUUAGGAUUUGAUUUAGGAUUUAGGGUUUAGAGUUUGAUUUGGGUUUGAUUUAGAAUUAGGAUUUGAUUAGGAUUUGAUUAGAUUUUUAUUUAGGAUUAGGAUUUGAUUAGGAUUUGAUUUAGGAUUUAGGAUUUGAUUUAGGAUUGAUUAAGAUUUGAUUUAAGAUUUAGGAUUUGAUUAGGAUUUGAUUUAGGAUUUAGGAUUUUAUUUGAGUUUAUUUAAGAUUUAAGAUUUAGUUAAUUUUUGGCCUAAAGUUUGAAUGAAGUCCAAUAGGAUUUUGACUAGGAUUAAAUUAAGAUUGAAUUGAGAUGUAUUUGAGAUAUAUUUGUAAUCAUUUUAAUAUUUCUUUAAGAUUUCUUAUUAUUUCUUUGUAAUUCCUUUGAGGUUUCUUUGAAUUUGAUUAAAGCUUUCUUAGCAUUGUUAUGGUCUAAUUAGACUUUAGUUAGUAUUCUAUUAGAGUAAGAAUUUUGUUGUUUCAAUUUCCAUUCUGCCUUCCACAACUAAGUAUUU